RNAcentral lists this ribosomal RNA (429 nucleotides) under Acidobacteriota bacterium. Its description in RNAcentral is "Acidobacteria bacterium partial 16S ribosomal RNA". It matches the Rfam family "Bacterial small subunit ribosomal RNA", at positions 355 to 776 of the family's 1533-position model. Lineage: Bacteria; Pseudomonadati; Acidobacteriota. The record is from RNAcentral.
UGGGGAAUUUUGGACAAUGGGGGAAACCCUGAUCCAGCCAUCCCGCGUGUGCGAUGAAGGCCUUCGGGUUGUAAAGCACUUUUGGCAGGAAAGAAACGUCAUGGGUUAAUACCCCGUGAAACUGACGGUACCUGCAGAAUAAGCACCGGCUAACUACGUGCCAGCAGCCGCGGUAAUACGUAGGGUGCAAGCGUUAAUCGGAAUUACUGGGCGUAAAGCGUGCGCAGGCGGUUCGGAAAGAAAGAUGUGAAAUCCCAGGGCUCAACUUUGGAACUGCAUUUUUAACUACCGGGCUAGAGUGUGUCAGAGGGAGGUGGAAUUCCGCGUGUAGCAGUGAAAUGCGUGGAUAUGCGGAGGAACACCGAUGGCGAAGGCAGCCUCCUGGGAUAACACUGACGCUCAUGCACGAAAGCGUGGGGAGCAAACAGG